This is a long non-coding RNA of Lingula anatina, 1003 nucleotides long. The record is from RefSeq and is a predicted model, not a curated record. Lineage: Eukaryota; Metazoa; Brachiopoda; Lingulata; Lingulida; Lingulidae.
AGUCCUGCCAUGGUCUGUCUACGAGGUGACAAUAAUGGGGAAGCGUUCCAGACAUAUGGUGUUUCACUGAGAUGAAAAACCCUCAGAGAACUCGAUUAUGGCGAUUCUCACUAGAGCUACCACUGACCACUGACAACUGCAAGGAAAGGAGACCCACAUCUACACUUCAGCGACGUCCAUCAACCCUUGGUGCCAGCGAGUCCUGCCACGUCCUGUCUAUGAGGUGGCUGCAAUGGGGAAGCGUCCAGCGAGUCCUGCCAUGGUCCGUCUACAAGAUGGUUGCAAUGAGGAAGCGUCGACAGCAUGUAGUGUUUCCCUGAGAUGGAAAACCUUUAAAGGUAAGCCUGACUGCAGAGCGUUCACAUAGGUAGAAAAAGUCAUUAAUGAUUUUUUUCUGUUUCAAUAAAGCUCCCACUGACAAGUGCAAGGAGAAGAGGGCCACAUCUACACUUCAGCGACGUCCAUCAAUCCUUGGUGCCAGUGAGUCCUGCCACGCCCUGUCUAUGAGGUGGCUGCAACGGGGAAGCGUCCAGCCUGUCCUGCCAUGGUCUGUCUACGAGAUGGCUGCAUUGGGGAAGUGUCCAGCGAGUCCUGCCAAGGUCUGUCUACGAGGUGGCUGCAAUGGAGAAGAAUCCCAGGCAUAUGGUGUUUCACAGAGAUGGAAAACCCAUAUAGAACUAGAUUAUGGCUAUUAUCGAUAAAGCUCCCAUUGACAACUGCAAGGAAAAGAGGGCCACAUCUACAUUUUGAUCAACCCUUAGUGCCAGCAAGUCCUGCCAUGGUUUGUCUACGAGGUGGCUCCAUUGGGGAAGCGUCCCAGGAUUGUUGUUUCACCGAGAUGGAAAACCCUUAAGGAACUCGAUUAUGGUGAUUCUCGGUGGAGCUCCCACUGACAACUGCAAGGAAAAGAGAGCCACAUCUACACUUCAGCUACUUCCAUCAAUCCUUAGUGCCAGCGAGUCCUGCCAUGGUCUGUAUACGAGGUGGCUGCAUCGGGGGAGCG